ACAUGCAAGUCGAGCGGACAGAAGGGAGCUUGCUCCCGGAUGUUAGCGGCGGACGGGUGAGUAACACGUGGGUAACCUGCCUGUAAGACUGGGAUAACUCCGGGAAACCGGAGCUAAUACCGGAUAGUUCCUUGAACCGCAUGGUUCAAGGAUGAAAGACGGUUUCGGCUGUCACUUACAGAUGGACCCGCGGCGCAUUAGCUAGUUGGUGGGGUAAUGGCUCACCAAGGCGACGAUGCGUAGCCGACCUGAGAGGGUGAUCGGCCACACUGGGACUGAGACACGGCCCAGACUCCUACGGGAGGCAGCAGUAGGGAAUCUUCCGCAAUGGACGAAAGUCUGACGGAGCAACGCCGCGUGAGUGAUGAAGGUUUUCGGAUCGUAAAGCUCUGUUGUUAGGGAAGAACAAGUGCGAGAGUAACUGCUCGCACCUUGACGGUACCUAACCAGAAAGCCACGGCUAACUACGUGCCAGCAGCCGCGGUAAUACGUAGUUGGCAAGCGUUGUCCGGAAAUUAUUGGGGCGUAAAGGGCUCCGCAGGCGGUUUCUUAAGUCUGAUGUGAAAGCCCCCGGGCUCAACCGGGGAGGGUCAUUGGAAACUGGCCCCUUUAGUGCUGCAGCUAACGCAUUUAAGCACUUCCGCCUGGGGAGUACGGUCGGCAAGACUGAAACUCAAAGGGAAUUGACGGGGGCCCGCACCAAGCGGGUGGAGCAUGUGGUUUAAUUCGAAGCAACGCCGAAGAACCUUACCAGGUCUUGACAUCCUCUGACAACCCUAGAGAUAGGGCUUUCCCUUCGGGGACAGAGUGACAGGUGGUGCAUGGUUGUCGUCAGCUCGUGUCGUGAGAUGUUGGGUUAAGUCCCGCAACGAGCGCAACCCUUGAUCUUAGUUGCCAGCAUUCAGUUGGGCACUCUAAGGUGACUGCCGGUGACAAACCGGAGGAAGGUGGGGAUGACGUCAAAUCAUCAUGCCCCUUAUGACCUGGGCUACACACGUGCUACAAUGGACAGAACAAAGGGCUGCAAGACCGCAAGGUUUAGCCAAUCCCAUAAAUCUGUUCUCAGUUCGGAUCGCAGUCUGCAACUCGACUGCGUGAAGCUGGAAUCGCUAGUAAUCGCGGAUCAGCAUGCCGCGGUGAAUACGUUCCCGGGCCUUGUACACACCGCCCGUCACACCACGAGAGUUUGCAACACCCGAAGUCGGUGAGGUAACCUUA
RNAcentral lists this ribosomal RNA (1218 nucleotides) under Bacillus pumilus. RNAcentral's name for it is "bacterial SSU rRNA". It matches the Rfam family "Bacterial small subunit ribosomal RNA". The record is from RNAcentral. Lineage: Bacteria; Bacillati; Bacillota; Bacilli; Caryophanales; Bacillaceae.